GACGAACGCUGGCGGCGUGCUUAACACAUGCAAGUCGAACGCUGAAGCUUGGUGCUUGCACUGGGUGGAUGAGUGGCGAACGGGUGAGUAAUACGUGAGUAACCUGCCCUUGACUCUGGGAUAAGCCUGGGAAACUGGGUCUAAUACUGGAUAUGACAUGCCACUGCAUGGUGGUGUGUGGAAAGGGUUUUACUGGUUUUGGAUGGGCUCACGGCCUAUCAGCUUGUUGGUGGGGUAAUGGCCUACCAAGGCGAUGACGGGUAGCCGGCCUGAGAAGGUGAAGCACCACAGCGGGAGGGAGACGGCGCACAGAAUCGGAAGGGCGGGACCGGAGGGGAUGAGAGGCAGGCGGGCGAAACGCUGCGGCAGGGCGGCCGGGUGGGAGGUGACGGCGUGCGGGUGGUAAAAAGCUCUCCGCACAGAGGAAGAGGGGGAGGAGGUAAGUAAAGAAGGAGCGCCGACAAACCACGCGCGAACGGCGGCCGAAAUAGAUGAUAAGCACAGGCAGAGC
This 511-nucleotide ribosomal RNA is filed under the name uncultured bacterium. RNAcentral describes it as "partial 16S ribosomal RNA". The stretch from base 20 to 336 matches the Rfam family "Bacterial small subunit ribosomal RNA", at positions 47 to 358 of the family's 1533-position model. The record is from RNAcentral.